GCUGUGGCUCAGUGGUAGAGUGCUUGCCUAGCAUGUGUGAGGCACUGGGUUUGAUUCUCAGCACG
This 65-nucleotide transfer RNA is filed under the name Marmota monax (woodchuck). Its description in RNAcentral is "tRNA.Ala". Lineage: Eukaryota; Metazoa; Chordata; Mammalia; Rodentia; Sciuridae. The record is from RNAcentral.